This 147-nucleotide ribosomal RNA is filed under the name uncultured eukaryote. Its description in RNAcentral is "partial 18S ribosomal RNA". It matches the Rfam family "Eukaryotic small subunit ribosomal RNA", at positions 1299 to 1458 of the family's 1831-position model. The record is from RNAcentral.
UGGUGGAGUGAUUUGUCUGGUUAAUUCCGUUAACGAACGAGACCUCGACCUGCUAAAUAGUUCGACGAACAGCUUCGUGCAGUUCGCUCGUUUGACUUCUUAGAGGGACUAUCGGUGUGUAGCCGAUGGAAGUUCGAGGCAAUAACA